This 1253-nucleotide ribosomal RNA is filed under the name Staphylococcus aureus. RNAcentral's name for it is "bacterial SSU rRNA". It matches the Rfam family "Bacterial small subunit ribosomal RNA", at positions 1 to 1235 of the family's 1533-position model. The record is from RNAcentral. Lineage: Bacteria; Bacillati; Bacillota; Bacilli; Caryophanales; Staphylococcaceae.
UUUAUGGAGAGUUUGAUCCUGGCUCAGGAUGAACGCUGGCGGCGUGCCUAAUACAUGCAAGUCGAGCGAACGGACGAGAAGCUUGCUUCUCUGAUGUUAGCGGCGGACGGGUGAGUAACACGUGGAUAACCUACCUAUAAGACUGGGAUAACUUCGGGAAACCGGAGCUAAUACCGGAUAAUAUUUUGAACCGCAUGGUUCAAAAGUGAAAGACGGUCUUGCUGUCACUUAUAGAUGGAUCCGCGCUGCAUUAGCUAGUUGGUAAGGUAACGGCUUACCAAGGCAACGAUGCAUAGCCGACCUGAGAGGGUGAUCGGCCACACUGGAACUGAGACACGGUCCAGACUCCUACGGGAGGCAGCAGUAGGGAAUCUUCCGCAAUGGGCGAAAGCCUGACGGAGCAACGCCGCGUGAGUGAUGAAGGUCUUCGGAUCGUAAAACUCUGUUAUUAGGGAAGAACAUAUGUGUAAGUAACUGUGCACAUCUUGACGGUACCUAAUCAGAAAGCCACGGCUAACUACGUGCCAGCAGCCGCGGUAAUACGUAGGUGGCAAGCGUUAUCCGGAAUUAUUGGGCGUAAAGCGCGCGUAGGCGGUUUUUUAAGUCUGAUGUGAAAGCCCACGGCUCAACCGUGGAGGGUCAUUGGAAACUGGAAAACUUGAGUGCAGAAGAGGAAAGUGGAAUUCCAUGUGUAGCGGUGAAAUGCGCAGAGAUAUGGAGGAACACCAGUGGCGAAGGCGACUUUCUGGUCUGUAACUGACGCUGAUGUGCGAAAGCGUGGGGAUCAAACAGGAUUAGAUACCCUGGUAGUCCACGCCGUAAACGAUGAGUGCUAAGUGUUAGGGGGUUUCCGCCCCUUAGUGCUGCAGCUAACGCAUUAAGCACUCCGCCUGGGGAGUACGACCGCAAGGUUGAAACUCAAAGGAAUUGACGGGGACCCGCACAAGCGGUGGAGCAUGUGGUUUAAUUCGAAGCAACGCGAAGAACCUUACCAAAUCUUGACAUCCUUUGACAACUCUAGAGAUAGAGCCUUCCCCUUCGGGGGACAAAGUGACAGGUGGUGCAUGGUUGUCGUCAGCUCGUGUCGUGAGAUGUUGGGUUAAGUCCCGCAACGAGCGCAACCCUUAAGCUUAGUUGCCAUCAUUAAGUUGGGCACUCUAAGUUGACUGCCGGUGACAAACCGGAGGAAGGUGGGGAUGACGUCAAAUCAUCAUGCCCCUUAUGAUUUGGGCUACACACGUGCUACAAUGGAC